UGAGGAAUAUUGGUCAAUGGACGAGAGUCUGAACCAGCCAAGUAGCGUGCAGGAUGACGGCCCUAUGGGUUGUAAACUGCUUUUGUUUGGGAAUAAUCGACAUUACGUGUAAUGUUUUGCAUGUACCAUUCGAAUAAGGACCGGCUAAUUCCGUGCCAGCAGCCGCGGUAAUACGGAAGGUCCAGGCGUUAUCCGGAUUUAUUGGGUUUAAAGGGAGUGUAGGCGGUUGGUUAAGCGUGUUGUGAAAUGUAGAUGCUCAACAUCUGACUUGCAGCGCGAACUGGCUGACUUGAGUACACACAACGUAGGCGGAAUUCAUGGUGUAGCGGUGAAAUGCUUAGAUAUCAUGAAGAACUCCGAUUGCGAAGGCAGCUGACGGGAGCGCAACUGACGCUUAAGCUCGAAGGUGCGGGUAUCAAACAGG
RNAcentral lists this ribosomal RNA (424 nucleotides) under Verrucomicrobiota bacterium. Its description in RNAcentral is "Verrucomicrobia bacterium partial 16S ribosomal RNA". It matches the Rfam family "Bacterial small subunit ribosomal RNA", at positions 355 to 776 of the family's 1533-position model. The record is from RNAcentral. Lineage: Bacteria; Pseudomonadati; Verrucomicrobiota.